CAGUGCGGCAGCUACACAUGCAGUCGAGCGCGCCUUCGGGUGAGCGGCGGACGGGUUAGUAACGCGUGGGAACGUGCCCUUCUCUACGGAAUAGCCUCUGGAAACGGAGAGUAAUACCGUAUACGCCCUUUGGGGGAAAGAUUUAUCGGAGAAGGAUCGGCCCGCGUUAGAUUAGGUAGUUGGUGGGGUAAUGGCCUACCGAGCCUACGAUCUAUAGCUGGUUUUAGAGGAUGAUCAGCAACACUGGGACUGAGACACGGCCCAGACUCCUACGGGAGGCAGCAGUGGGGAAUCUUAGACAAUGGGGGCAACCCUGAUCUAGCCAUGCCGCGUGAGUGAUGAAGGCCUUAGGGUCGUAAAGCUCUUUCGCCUGUGAUGAUAAUGACAGUAGCAGGUAAAGAAACCCCGGCUAACUCCGUGCCAGCAGCCGCGGUAAUACGGAGGGGGUUAGCGUUGUUCGGAAUUACUGGGCGUAAAGCGCGCGUAGGCGGAUUAGAAAGUUGGGGGUGAAAUCCCGGGGCUCAACCCCGGAACUGCCUCCAAAACUGCUAGUCUAGAGUUCGAGAGAGGUGAGUGGAAUUCCGAGUGUAGAGGUGAAAUUCGUAGAUAUUCGGAGGAACACCAGUGGCGAAGGCGGCUCACUGGCUCGAUACUGACGCUGAGGUGCGAAAGUGUGGGGAGCAAACAGGAUUAGAUACCCUGGUAGUCCACACCGUAAACGAUGAAUGCCAGUCGUCGGAUAGUA
Molecule: ribosomal RNA, 745 nt
Filed under: uncultured bacterium
Lineage: Bacteria
Description: bacterial SSU rRNA
Rfam family: Bacterial small subunit ribosomal RNA
Source: RNAcentral